UGGCACUUGGAAUGAACUGGUUCCCUACCACAUUAGGGAAUCGCUAAAUGCUUUAGGAUGGCUGGCAUCUGCGGAGCUGUUCUCCCAGGCCUGGCCCUGCAGUUAUUAUUCUGGAGUUAGUGCUGCGAUCUGUGUGUUACAAAAAUAGAAUCCAAGGCCAAGAGAAGUUGGAAAUAACUUUCUGAAAUUCGAAUCUGAAACCUAGAAUCCCCUGGAUCACAGAUUAUUGUGCUAACCAUCCACUCUACCACUUGAGGCCACUACAGCUAAGUUUUACAUUCACCUUUUCAUCUCAAGUUUUGGAAGAGUGGUUUCCCAAUGUGAACGUAAACGAACCUCAUUUGGUGGAGAACAAAUGAUACAGCAUUUGGGGAAGUGAAGCCACACCUUCCCUCUUGAUGCAGACCACAGUGCUCCUUCUGUUUUGGGAAUUCCCAGCUUACCGCCUCAGGGAGGUGUACACCAUGACAUUGGCCAUGCUGGUGCUCUGAGAGAAUUCAAUCAAAUGAUGAAUUUGGCAUCUUUAUCUCAAUCUGCUCUUCCAUUUUCUUCAAAGAGCUUUAGGAUUGCAUCUAAUAGGGUUAGCAAACCUCUUGUAUAGAGGGCAGGCCUGUGCACGUGUUCAGGUUUUG
This 632-nucleotide long non-coding RNA is filed under the name Marmota monax (woodchuck). The record is from RNAcentral. Lineage: Eukaryota; Metazoa; Chordata; Mammalia; Rodentia; Sciuridae.